Carya illinoinensis is the source of this 1067-nucleotide long non-coding RNA. RefSeq lists it as uncharacterized. NCBI's taxonomy places the organism in Eukaryota, Viridiplantae, Streptophyta, Magnoliopsida, Fagales, Juglandaceae. The record is from RefSeq and is a predicted model, not a curated record. The transcript is spliced from 2 exons.
UUGGCUGAGAAUAUCUAGUACUUCAUUUUUGGUCUCUGAACGGUACUUGAUAACAAAGCAGUAUUACUGCCAGAAUGCACUCCACCCUGCAUGCCUGCAGAUUACUUACGAGGCAAACUCCUUAUGAGGCAGAAAGUGCUUCCAAUGUUCGAUGGCUUGCACCACAACAUAGAAUUCAAGGUCAGAUUUUUUAAAAAAAAAAUUAAAUUAAAUUCAAGGUCAUAGUUAAAAUUCGUUUUCUUGGCUUCAUUGGGUUGUUGUCUGAAACAUAGAGCAAGGGUGCUUUCAUUGGCUUAGGACUAUCCCUCAUGAGAUGCAUCACAAGUCAACUCAAAAAACUUGCUGAAGUUUGGAAUGUUUAGCCCUGAUAACUCUGGCAUUCUGAUGCUUAUUUCUUAGACUGCCUUCGGCACAAAAACCUGUCUUUCUUCGGCACCUAGUAAUCGGUGCCAUAAUUGAUAAUAUUGGAUAAAAACCAAAGUACGAAAGUGGAGAUAUUCUCAAUUUGAGCGGCUACAUAGGAUGCAUUCUUCUCUUCAGUCGAUAGCAAAUUGUUUUCUUGGGGUUUGGAACACAAAAUACCUACAUGGGAUGCAUUCUUCUCCUAGUUGAAAGCAAAUUGUUUUCGUGGGUUUGGAAUACAAAAUACCAAUUUGCUUUGAAUAGAUGUGCUUCAUAUUCAUCUAAACCAAUGAUUUUUUCUUGUUUCUGUAUAUAGCUUUAAUUUUUACUUCAUUUAUACGCAAUUAGGGAAAAUAUGAGGAAGCACUCAGGGAACGUACAAAAGCGUUAGAACUAAAUCCUAGCUUUGGUUAGGAGAGGAAAGGCUCAGGAAAAGCUUGAACGCUUUGAAGAGGCUAUUGCCGAUAAUAGAUAUGAAAAGGGUUUUGGAGUUGGAUUCUUCGAAGGGCCAAGCUAAGAAAGCCAUACGCCGGUUGGAGCCAUUGGUGGAGGAAAAGCGAGAAAAGAUGAAGGAGAGAUGUUGGUAAGCAUAAUUUUAUCUUUAAUAGAUUGACUUCUGGCUUCUAUGUGAAUCUCAAAACGAUUUUUUGGUACUUUGGCAAUCA